GCGUCUUAAGCAUGCAAGUCAAACGGGAUGUAGCAAUACAUCUAGUGGCGAACGGGUGAGUAACGCGUGGAUGAUCUACCUACGAGAUGGGGAUAACUAUUAGAAAUAGUAGCUAAUACCGAAUAAAGUCAAUUAAUUUGUUAAUUGAUGAAAGGAAGCCUUUAAAGCUUCGCUUGUAGAUGAGUCUGCGUCUUAUUAGCUAGUUGGUAGGGUAAAUGCCUACCAAGGCGAUGAUAAGUAACCGGCCUGAGAGGGUGAACGGUCACACUGGAACUGAGAUACGGUCCAGACUCCUACGGGAGGCAGCAGCUAAGAAUCUUCCGCAAUGGGCGAAAGCCUGACGGAGCGACACUGCGUGAAUGAAGAAGGUCGAAAGAUUGUAAAAUUCUUUUAUAAAUGAGGAAUAAGCUUUGUAGGAAAUGACAAAGUGAUGACGUUAAUUUAUGAAUAAGCCCCGGCUAAUUACGUGCCAGCAGCCGCGGUAAUACGUAAGGGGCGAGCGUUGUUCGGGAUUAUUGGGCGUAAAGGGUGAGUAGGCGGAUAUAUAAGUCUAUGCAUAAAAUGCCACGGCUCAACUGUGGAACUAUGUUGGAAACUAUAUGUCUAGAGUCUGAUAGAGGAAGUUAGAAUUUCUGGUGUAAGGGUGGAAUCUGUUGAUAUCAGAAAGAAUACCGGAGGCGAAGGCGAACUUCUGGGUCAAGACUGACGCUGAGUCACGAAAGCGUAGGGAGCAAACAGGAUUAGAUACCCUGGUAGUCUACGCUGUAAACGAUGCACACUUGGUGUUAACUAAAAGUUAGUACCGAAGCUAACGUG
Molecule: ribosomal RNA, 816 nt
Filed under: Borreliella garinii
Lineage: Bacteria; Pseudomonadati; Spirochaetota; Spirochaetia; Spirochaetales; Borreliaceae
Description: bacterial SSU rRNA
Rfam family: Bacterial small subunit ribosomal RNA
Source: RNAcentral